Long non-coding RNA from Mus musculus (house mouse), 1585 nucleotides. RefSeq annotates it as predicted gene, 52175. Lineage: Eukaryota; Metazoa; Chordata; Mammalia; Rodentia; Muridae. The record is from RefSeq and is a predicted model, not a curated record. The transcript is spliced from 3 exons.
AAGGUGUCCAACCUCCUGGGCUUCUCUUCCAGCACUUCCUCCUGGACAGUUCUGCAAGUGCUGACCAGGAGACCUGUGAGGCUGUAAGACCUUCCAGCCCAGAGCUGGGGCUUUCCCUAAAGCGGUCUUCUUGCCUUCUUCCUUUUACUCACUCGAUGUGAUACAUCCGUUUGUAAGCUUUUCCAAGCACCUCCAGGGCUUACUCAGGGCCAGGUGCUCUAACACGAGGUUACAGCCAUGGGAUGGAUGCUCUGCAUGGCUUCUGAGGGCGCAGCCUUCAGAGAGAGAUGGCUCGGCCCUUCUAGAAGUUUACACUUCAGCUCACCACAUUUCAGUUUCUUCAUCUGAGAGGUAGGAAUUGUAAUGGUGUAUAAUUCUCGGAGCUACAGAAAAAGUGAGCUGAUAUGAGGCUAGGAGUAGUUCAGUCACAGAGUGAGGCCGGGUUCAACCCUCAACAUUGUAACUGAAGAAGAAAAGGUGACCAUGAGAUGAACGGAAAGGUGAACCUAGUGGUGCCUGGAGCUCAGAAAGCAGGCAGUGCCAGCAAAUAAAGGGGAGUGUGGGGUAAAUGCAGACAGGAGCCUGAGUGGUCCAUAAGGGGUGAAGGCCUAAGGACCCGUGGCAGGUGGUGCCUACAGGGAGCCUGAAUGUUCAAUUCUGGUGAAGCUACAGGAAGCCAGCCUAGAAGGUCAAAAAGGAAUUUCCUCAGUGGAGAGGAGAGGAAAGAUCCCAUGGCUAACCUGAGCCAAGGUACAGGACGUGUGGGUCAGCGACCACCUGCAAAUUCUCUCGUGAACAUCCUGCUCAGUAGACCAUGAGGAGAGGCACUUCUGUCUCUGGCCCACGAGCCCUUCAUUUCCAGCAGCCAAGCACUGACCGGACACCAGGCAGAGUUAGAAAGGACCAUCUCUUCCGGGGCCCCUUGGAACUUCCAGCUAAGGAGACAACAGGAUAUGAAGACAAGUACACUCACACUCACUCUUUGCUGGGAAGGAACACAAGGAGAAUCCUAUGGAUAUCUCUGACUCAGGGGUGGAGGUCAGGAGACACAAGUGAGUCAUGAGGCAGAAGAGUGUCCUAGAAAGAGGACGGAUCCCGAGCUGUGAAGGAACACGUCAUACCAAAGAAAGGCAAAGGAAGUCAGAGCUGGAGGCCAUGGUCAGAGUGGAGGACUCCAGGGAGACUGGCCGAAGCCUUGGCCAUGUCAAACCUUGCCCCCUCUGGAUGCCGGAUGGAGGGCAGCUGUGGACAGUUACGUCAGAAGGUCCGGGAUGGAGUCAGGAUGUGCAACUGUGGUGUCUUGAACCUCUGCUCUCAACAACUCAAACAGCUCACCUGCUCUGCAAGGAAGUUCUCCAUGCCUCCUCCCAGAACCCACUCCUGAUGUCAACAUGGCAUUUGCUUCCAAGACCCGCCACCCUUCCUGCUUCGGUACUAGUCUCCGGCUCAGCUCCCUUCCCUCCUUCAAACCCUCUUGGCACAGCAGUAACCACACCUGAUCGGGUUUCACAAGAAAGCCGGUGUGAGAAUUCAAAAAGCUACUACUCACUGGAUAUCACACAAUAAACUGUGUUUCACGGAGUCC